UGACAGCUUUGUAGUAUGUUUUGAAAUUGAGAAAUGGGAGUCCAUCAGCUUUGUUCUUUUUCAAGAUUGUUCUGGCUACUGUGAGAGUGUUAGUCACUCAGUUGUAUCCAGUUCUUUUUUUUUUUUUUUUUUUUUACAGGCCGGGGUCUGGAUCCCGGGGCACCGAAGGGCCGCGGACUCUCUCGGGGCAGCCCCGCGCUCCGCCCGCUGGGGCCCGGCCAAGGCGCCCCGGGGUCCCUUCGCCGCCCGCACCCCCAGCGCCGCGCCGCUGUAUCCAGUUCUUUGUGACCCCUUGGACUGUAACCUGCCAGGCUCCCUUGUCCAUGGGAUUCUCCAAGCAAGAAUACUGGAGUGGGUAGCCAUUCCCUUCUCCAGGGGAUCUUCCUAACCCAGGGAUUGAACUCUGGUCUCCUGCAUUGCAGGCAGAUUCUGCUACUAUGAAUUCCUCAAAUUUGCACAUGAAUUUGAAGAACAAAUGGUGAACUUCUGCAAAGAAAGCUGCUGGGAUUUGGGCAGGGAUUACAUCGAAUUCUAAGAUCAAUUUGGGGAGUACUGUCCUCUUUAACAAUAUUGUUUCCUGAUCCAUGAGUAUGAGAUUGCUUUCUAUUUAUUUCAGCUCAGUUCAGUCGCUCAGUCGUGUCCAACUCUCUGCGACCCCAUGGACUGCGGCACACCAGGCUUCCCUGCCCAUCACCAACUCCCGGAGCUUGCUCAAACUCAUGUCCAUCAAGUCGGUGAUGCCAUCCAACUGCCUCAUCCUCUGUCAUCCCCUUCUCCUGCCUUCAAUCUUUCCCAGCAUCAGGGUCUUUUCCAAUGAGCCAGUUCUUCACAUCAGGUGGCCAAAGUAUUGGAGUUUCAGCUUCAGCAUCAGUCCUUCCAAUGAAUAUUCAGGACUGAUUUCCUUUAGGAUGGACUGGUUAGAUCUCCUUGCUGUCCAAUGGACUCUAUUUAAAUCGUCUUUCAGAGCUUCCCUGGUGGCUCAGCUGGUAAAGAAUCCCCCUGCAAUGUGGGAGACCUGGGUUCCAUCCCUGGGUUGGGAAGAUCCCCUGGGGGAGAAUGGCUACCCACUCCAGUAUUCUGGCCCAGGGAAUUACAUGGACCGUAUAGUCCAUGGGGUCACAAAGAGUCGGCCAUGACCGAGUGACUUUCACUAAUUUCUUUCAAUGCUUUCAGAGUAUAAAUUUUACACUUCUGUUAAAUUUGUCUGUUUUAUUCUCUCUGAUGCUAUUGUAAAUGGAAAUGUUUUACUUUCAUUGUAUGGACUGUUCAUUCCAAGUGUAUAGAAAGGGUUGAUCUUUGCAUAUUGACCUUGCAUCGCCCUUGCUUUUGCGUCUCCAUGCUUUACACAGCAGGCAGUCACUGUGGCAAAGCCUGCGGGUGGGGCAAGACUCGGGGCCAGGCCGCCAGCCGCAAGGCAGCAGCUGAUGUUGUAAUCCAGGUGACAGGUGUGCGUGGCUGGCCUGGCAAAGUGGGGAAAGAGAAAUGGGUGGGCUGGAGCCACAGGACUGGGAUGGGGUGGGAGAAAAGGAGUUGUCGAGGAUAAGGCCCAUACACCCCACUACAUAUAAAAUAGGCAACAGGGAAUGCUACUCAGUACUCUAUAAUGGCCCAUACGGGAAAAGACCCUAAAAAAGAGUAGAUAUGUGUGUAUGUAUAGCUGAUUCACUUUGCCGUACACCUGAAAUGAAUACAACAUUGUAAAUCAACUAUAUGCUGAUAAAAUGUUUUUUAAAUGAACAACAACAACAAAAAAAGGGUAAGGCCCUAAGUUUUUGGCCUGGAUCACAUUUACCAGGAAUUUCAUUUUGAAAAUGUGGCUUUGAAGUGCCUUUAAAACAAGCCAAAGGAAGGGAAUUAAUUCCUGGCAGUCUAGUGACUAGGACUUAGCACUCUUUCUGCCAAGUACCUGGGUUCAAUCCCUGUUGGGGAACAAAAAAGUUCCAUAAGCCACAAGGCACAGCGAGAAGAAAAAAAAAAGCCACCAGUUCCAGAGGCAGCUGAAUAAGCCAUUAGUAGCUCAGGGCAGCUCUAGGCUGGAAAUAAAAUCCCGGGUGUCAGAGAGUGGGAAAAGACAGCUGGGCAGUGGCCGAGAAGCUAACACCAAAUGCAUGGACACAGGAAGCCAGCUGUGGCCAGGCAGCUGAAGAAAGCUGGGGGUGAAGCCUCCAGGGGGAGGGUCCCAUGGUGCUGUAAGCUGCUGAAGUCACAGCAGGUAGUAACCCAGCCUCAAAGACUGCAGGAGACUUCAGCCAAUGGAACCCAGACUGCACUGAGAUGGGUGUGCGUGCGUGCGUGUGUACACACACUCAGUCGCAUCCGAUUCA
Molecule: long non-coding RNA, 2324 nt
Organism: Bos taurus (domestic cattle)
Lineage: Eukaryota; Metazoa; Chordata; Mammalia; Artiodactyla; Bovidae
Source: Ensembl